This is a non-coding RNA of Pelobates cultripes (western spadefoot toad), 172 nucleotides long. Lineage: Eukaryota; Metazoa; Chordata; Amphibia; Anura; Pelobatidae. The record is from the annotation of a GenBank genome assembly.
UAGUGACAGAGAGAGGGAGUGGGUGACUAGUGACAGAGUGAGGGAUGGGGUGACUAGUGACAGUCACCACCUCCUUCACUCUGUCACUAGUCACCCCCUCCCUCACUCUGUCAUUGUGUCACCCCCUUCCUCACUCUGUCACUAGUCACCCACUCCCUCCCUCACUCUGUCA